RNAcentral lists this ribosomal RNA (407 nucleotides) under Verrucomicrobiota bacterium. RNAcentral's name for it is "Verrucomicrobia bacterium partial 16S ribosomal RNA". It matches the Rfam family "Bacterial small subunit ribosomal RNA", at positions 355 to 776 of the family's 1533-position model. The record is from RNAcentral. Lineage: Bacteria; Pseudomonadati; Verrucomicrobiota.
UGGGGAAUAUUGGACAAUGGAGGCAACUCUGAUCCAGCAAUUCUGUGUGUGUGAAGAAGGUUUUAGGACUGUAAAACACUUUUAGUAGGGAAGAAAAAAAUGACGGUACCUACAGAAGAAGCGACGGCUAAAUACGUGCCAGCAGCCGCGGUAAUACGUAUGUCGCGAGCGUUAUCCGGAAUUAUUGGGCUUAAAGGGCAUCUAGGCGGUUAAACAAGUUGAAGGUGAAAACCUGUGGCUCAACCAUAGGCUUGCCUACAAAACUGUAUAACUAGAGUACUGGAAAGGUGGGUGGAACUACACGAGUAGAGGUGAAAUUCGUAGAUAUGUGUAGGAAUGCCGAUGAUGAAGAUAACUCACUGGACAGCAACUGACGCUGAAGUGCGAAAGAUAGGGGAGCAAACAGG